UUUUUCAUCAAGAACAUCACCUAUGGGUCUGUUUGGAGAUGCUGUAGCCUUUGGUUAAAAAAUAAUUUUUGAUAAAAACUAUAUUUUGAGAUCAAAAACUAUUUUAAGAUAAAGCAAUCUUUUGUUGUAAACUGUUUGGCUGCGAAGAUCUAAGAGCUGAAACAAUAGAAGUAGUUUGUUGUGUAUUUGAUUGGCAAAUCCAAAAACUGAUUUUGAAUGGCAA
This 223-nucleotide long non-coding RNA is filed under the name Elaeis guineensis (African oil palm). RNAcentral's name for it is "long non-coding RNA (EGUI_LNC037318)". The record is from RNAcentral. Lineage: Eukaryota; Viridiplantae; Streptophyta; Magnoliopsida; Arecales; Arecaceae.